CUAAAUCACCUCCCCCCGUCUCUCUCUCUCUCUCUCUCUCUCUCUCUCUCUCUCUCCCUCAACUGCAACGCGCCCAUCCCCUCCCCCCUCCUUUGUUCUCCUGAUAGAGCACAAUUUAAGCUUCUAUACUAGGUCAGCUAGACACAUAAGUACCCCUCAUCGAGAUUCUCCUGAAGAGGAUGGGCAUUUAGAGUUGCAAGAAUCAGCGAGGCUAAGAGAUCGAGAAUUGUUGAAUAGGAAUAAGCGGAGAAUAGGAGAUAGGUUGGUGCUAGGGAUUAGCAGAGAAGAAGGGGAAGAAACAACGGAAGAGAGCGCCUGUGAUGAAGAGGACUAUGAAAUUGAUGACGGUAGAGUGUCUCGGAUGCUUCCUCCCAAUGCAACAUCCUCUUCCUCGGUGCUUCCAAGCCACAGCCACCGGAAGAGCCUGCCUCCGACGAGAGUUGGUUUCAGACAAGUGCCAUCUUUGAAGGUCCCUAAUGAAAUGAUUGGUGUGUCUGUACCGAGGAAGGCUCGCUCAGCUUCUGUGAAAAGGUCGCACGAGAGUUGGGUUCAGGAAAUGGUGGAUUUGGGGAAGACCUCAAACACCGGCGAGCUUCCACUUCAUCGGUGAGUCGGAGCGCUGAGGCUUCGCCACCUUCAUCGUCGGACAUUUCAGUUAGAAAGAAGAUGAAACUCAAUGGACCCAAGACUCGUUUUUCCAAAGUGUGGAAAUCUACGGUCCACGAGGAUAUCGAGAUUGAGAUCGCAGAGGUUUUGUAUGGGUUAAUGAAGCAAUCGCAGGGCUCCAAGGAGGAGAAGGACGCUGAAAAUUCUUUGCAGAAGCUUGAAUCUAAGGAUGCAAAUGGUGCUAUUCACGAUUCCAAGUCAUCCCUGACCCCAGUCUCUGUCCAGAGCUCUUUUUUCUCCCAAAACAGUAAGCCCUACGACCGAUCCCAUCCUUGCUUCAAAGAAGCAAAAAUUAGAGGCUGAAACAGCACCAUUCCAAAACAGUUCAAUUGCUUCUUUAGUUAAAGAUGAAAGCGAGCAGCCUGUGAAAAUGGAACUUGUUUCACCAAAAGUGGAGAAAAUUUCUACAUAUAAUGUGGAACCUUGUGAAGAUUCGCGUAAUAUGGGUGAUUCUCGAGCUGCAUCCUAGUCACCAGAAUUGCAAGAGGAGGUAAUUAAGCAAGUGGAUUCAAAAUCGGCGAUUGAAGAACCUGGAGUUGCUAGCGACGAAAAAUCUGUGUCACCAGAGGAGGAAUUGGCUUCCUGCACUAAAUUGGAUGUUGAUUUCUAAGAUUCAACAGUGAAGAAAGCGUGGGCAUAAAAGAAGCUUUUGUUUUCUUUCUUUUUUGCCAGUGAUCCUUUCGGGAUAUCUGAUUUUCCCCCCUAUACUAUCUGCUCUGGUUUCUCAGCAUUUCAAAUACAUCAGAGGUAGAGGGCCAGCGCAAGGAGAAGUUCAAGAUCGAUUUGAUGGCUCCUCCUCCUAUGGUAUCUUCUCCAGAACGAGAUGGCUUUAUUGAUUUGUCAUCGGAUCCUAAACCUACUUCCGAGGAUGUGGAAAUGAAGACAGAAAAUAAGGUUAAAAACGAAGAACAAGUGCAAGAAUCGGUGAAGGAAGCAGCAGUUGUGGAAGUUAAAGAUAAGAAGAUAAAGGUAAUUGGAGAAAAGCCUAAAUUAAAGCUUGAUCUGGAAGCUGGAUCACGACUGUACCAAUGACGAUGCUGCUAAAUGACAGCAGAAACAACCACCUAAAGCUGCUAUUUCUGAAUUGGAGACAACUGUUGAAUCGAGCUUAGUGCAUUUACCAAUUGCUGUCUCUAGUUGGCCAAGUGGUCUUCCGCCUUUCGGGUGCGAUAUUUUAUUAUUAGACUAAUUCUUCUCGCAUGUAAUCAGUUUUGAUACUACUGUUGAAAAUACAUCGAGUUGAGGCAACAAAAGUAAUUUAUAUUUAUUGACAGAUACAUGCCUCCCUUCCAGACAGUCGUGCCAAUGGAUGGGACUACUGGAUCAUCCACAGCAACAUAGGUAUCAUGUGUUUGUUCGUCAGGAUUACAACUUAGACAUAUAUCUUUUUUUCCCCCCGAAUUAUCAAUCAUUAUUAAAUUUGCUGUUGAAUUUUCAAAUUAUGGGCAGCCUCCUCGUUUUCUUCUUACACAACCUCGCUCGAAGAGAUGUUCGACCCACCAUUAUAUUGCUAGCAACAUUUGCUUGCAUCAGCAAUUCACAAAGAUGAACAAUUUCUGGGCACCAGCAGCUGGCUCCGUCACUCUUCCUGUAACCAAACCCAAUAAUACCAAUGCCAUGUCUUCAAUGGAGAAUAUGAUUAUUAGAAAUCCAUUGCAAGGGAGCUUUCCAGUUGUGAAUGCCAACACUGCCCAGGACAAAGGGCAGGCUGUGGCAAAUUUUCCUGUUUUUACUUGGAAAGAUAGAAAUGUUGAGGGGGCCAACUGCAUAGACACAGCACAGAAAAAUCUCCACAGCCAGCCUCAGCUGGUAAUUUGAUGGUAUUGUCUUAUCCUGUUCAUUCAUUGUAAUUCGUUUUUGACUCGGCCCAUAGAUCUUGUCCUGUUGUUCCAGUUUAUAUUUUGAUCUAGAGGUAUCUCUUGUAUGGUCA
Molecule: long non-coding RNA, 2596 nt
Organism: Hevea brasiliensis (rubber tree)
Lineage: Eukaryota; Viridiplantae; Streptophyta; Magnoliopsida; Malpighiales; Euphorbiaceae
Exons: 8
Source: RefSeq, a predicted model, not a curated record